RNAcentral lists this ribosomal RNA (185 nucleotides) under uncultured bacterium. RNAcentral's name for it is "partial 16S ribosomal RNA". It matches the Rfam family "Bacterial small subunit ribosomal RNA", at positions 1316 to 1500 of the family's 1533-position model. The record is from RNAcentral.
CUACACGAAGCUGGAAUCGCUAGUAAUCGCGGAUCAGAAUGCCGCGGUGAAUACGUUCCCGGGUCUUGUACACACCGCCCGUCACACCAUGGGAGUCGGUAACGCCCGAAGCCAGUGACCCAACCUUAGGGAGGGAGCUGUCGAAGGCGGGACGGAUAACUGGGGUGAAGUCGUAACAAGGUAAC